This 468-nucleotide ribosomal RNA is filed under the name uncultured bacterium. RNAcentral describes it as "partial 16S ribosomal RNA". It matches the Rfam family "Bacterial small subunit ribosomal RNA", at positions 28 to 507 of the family's 1533-position model. The record is from RNAcentral.
GACGAACGCUGGCGGCGUGCUUAACACAUGCAAGUCGAACGGAAAGGCCCUGCUUUUGUGGGGUGCUCGAGUGGCGAACGGGUGGGUAACACGUGAGUAACCUGCCCUUGACUUUGGGAUAACUUCAGGAAACUGGGGCUAAUACCGGAUAGGAGCUCCUGCUGCAUGGUGGGGGUUGGAAAGUUUCGGCGGUUGGGGAUGGACUCGCGGCUUAUCAGCUUGUUGGUGGGGUAGUGGCUUACCAAGGCUUUGACGGGUAGCCGGCCUGAGAGGGUGACCGGCCACAUUGGGACUGAGAUACGGCCCAGACUCCUACGGGAGGCAGCAGUGGGGAAUAUUGCACAAUGGGCGGAAGCCUGAUGCAGCAACGCCGCGUGCGGGAUGACGGCCUUCGGGUUGUAAACCGCUUUCGCCUGUGACGAAGCGUGAGUGACGGUAAUGGGUAAAGAAGCACCGACUAACUACGUG